Molecule: ribosomal RNA, 201 nt
Filed under: uncultured bacterium
Lineage: Bacteria
Description: partial 16S ribosomal RNA
Rfam family: Bacterial small subunit ribosomal RNA
Source: RNAcentral
UACGUAGGGUGCGAGCGUUGUCCGGAAUUACUGGGCGUAAAGAGCUCGUAGGUGGUUUGUCGCGUUGUUCGUGAAAUCUCACGGCUUAACUGUGAGCGUGCGGGCGAUACGGGCAGACUAGAGUACUGCAGGGGAGACUGGAAUUCCUGGUGUAGCGGUGGAAUGCGCAGAUAUCAGGAGGAACACCGGUGGCGAAGGCGG